Molecule: ribosomal RNA, 468 nt
Filed under: uncultured bacterium
Lineage: Bacteria
Description: partial 16S ribosomal RNA
Rfam family: Bacterial small subunit ribosomal RNA
Source: RNAcentral
GACGAACGCUGGCGGCGUGCUUAGCACGUGCAAGUCGAACGGAAAGGCCCUGCUUUUGUGGGGUGCUCGAGUGGCGAACGGGUGAGUAACACGUGAGUAACCUGCCCUUGACUUUGGGAUAACUUCAGGAAACUGGGGCUAAUACCGGAUAGGAGCUCCUGCUGCAUGGUGGGGGUUGGAAAGUUUCGGCGGUUGGGGAUGGACUCGCGGCUUAUCAGCUUGUUGGUGGGGUAGUGGCUUACCAAGGCUUUGACGGGUAGCCGGCCUGAGAGGGUGACCGGCCACAUUGGGACUGAGAUACGGCCCAGACUCCUACGGGAGGCAGCAGUGGGGAAUAUUGCACAAUGGGCGGAAGCCUGAUGCAGCAACGCCGCGUGCGGGAUGACGGCCUUCGGGUUGUAAACCGCUUUCGCCUGUGACGAAGCGUGAGUGACGGUAAUGGGUAAAGAAGCACCGGCUAACUACGUG